This 324-nucleotide ribosomal RNA is filed under the name uncultured eukaryote. RNAcentral describes it as "partial 18S ribosomal RNA". It matches the Rfam family "Eukaryotic small subunit ribosomal RNA", at positions 1470 to 1796 of the family's 1831-position model. The record is from RNAcentral.
CCCUUAGAUGUUCUGGGCUGCAUGCGCGCUACACUGAAGCUAUCAACACGUUUUCCCUCCCUGAGAAGGGCGGGUAACCUUUUGAAUCAGCUUCGUGGUAGGGAUCGGGGCUUGCAAUUGUUCCCCGUGAACCAGGAAUUCCUAGUAGACGCGAGUCAUAAGCUCGCAUCGAUUAAGUCCCUGCCCUUUGUACACACCGCCCGUCGCCACUACCGAUUGAACGUUUUAGUGAGGCAUUUGGACCGACGCAUCUCAGUUUAACCGCUGGUUUGUGUUGGAAAGACUUCCAAACUUGAGCGUUUAGAGGAAGUAAAAGUCGUAACA